RNAcentral lists this long non-coding RNA (1235 nucleotides) under Zostera marina. RNAcentral's name for it is "long non-coding RNA (ZMAR_LNC005341)". Lineage: Eukaryota; Viridiplantae; Streptophyta; Magnoliopsida; Alismatales; Zosteraceae. The record is from RNAcentral.
AUAUAUAUAUCAAAUAAAACCAUCUUAUUUCGAUCGAUCUACUGGGCAAACGAACGAUAAGGUUUGUCACAAUACAGGGAGAAAUAGAAACACAUGAGAUAUUAAACUGGAGCAAACCCAAAUAAAAAUCAUUACCCUCAAACAAAACGUGGAAGAAAUUCAUUGCAGAUUAUACAAAGGUAAGGACAUGGAUAGUAAGGAAACCGAAAGUCAACUUUUCGAUCAGGUACUUAAACAUAAUGAUUGUGGGAGACUCUUAUCAUUUUUAGAAAGUACAUUAACAAGAUGGAGAAAAAAUUAAAAGUUAUCUUAUGAAAAGAUGUAGAAUUAACGUAUACAGUAAUUAAUAACGGCAAGUUUUCAAUGCCAGACACGUAGAUCAAAUUCUGACGAAAAUCACAGAUUAGGGCAAUAUGUUAGAGUUCCACCUGUUAAAAAAAUUAAACAUUAAUUACAACCUUACCUCAAAGAAGUUCACCCUGUAAGUCAUUAUUGGGUACGAAGAUCCUUUGAGUCACUUCUAAACCUAUAGAAGUAGUAAACCACCUUAGAAACCUAAAUGAGUGGACGAAUUGGAAGGAUGUACUUCAAUAAUUAAGUCCUCAAUACGUUCUAUUCCCAUAAAUUAAGUCCUCAAAAUUUGCAUAGUGACUGAUGAAGCGCCUAAGCUUUGAGCAUGUUCUCAUCAGUCCUAAGGAAAAAACAAUUGAGGCAGAGCGAUUGGGAAAGACGGACGACCUAUAGAACUUUAACUAUGGUGGGAGUAAUCAUGCAAAAAGGGUUCAACCUCCCUAAGAAAAACUAAAUUGGAUUACAGACCAAGCAAGGGACUACCGAGAAGAGGAGAAUCAGAGGCGUGCACUUUGAAAACCAAGCUACUGCAAUACUUGUGAAGGAUUCAACUACCAGAAAUGCCACGAGAAAACAUGGGCCCAAAUAGAAAUAAGAAUCCCAGGUAGAAAGAUUAGGGCUGAACCUAUAAUAUUUUUUCCAGAAUCAUCAAUGAAAAAUUAGAUGGUAGCUAAACUCCGGCGAGGUCCAAGUUUCAUAUUCGAAGGAGAGCUGGUGCACGUGGAAUGGUAGGUAGUUGAGGGAAGAGCACAUAAGAAAGAACAAAGCAGACAUAUGAGAUAAGAAAGCACAACAUCACAGCAGUCUACAACGUUGAUACAAUCUAAUGAUCAAGAGGGCCAAAAGGCACAAAGAGUUGUGUCGCCCAUACUACUAAAGUAUAA